GCAAGUCGAACGGUAACAUAAAGAAGCUUGCUUCUUUGAUGACGAGUGCCGUACGGGUGAGUAAUGCUUGGGAAUCUAGCUUAUGGAGGGGGAUAACUACGGGAAACUGUAGCUAAUACCGCGUAGAAUCGAGAGAUGAGAGUGUGGGACCUUCGGGCCACAUGCCAUAGGAUGAGCCCAAGUGGGAUUAGGUAGUUGGUGAGGUAAAGGCUCACCAAGCCGACGAUCUCUAGCUGGUCUGAGAGGAUGACCAGCCACACUGGGACUGAGACACGGCCCAGACUCCUACGGGAGGCAGCAGUGGGGAAUAUUGUGCAAUGGGGGCAACCCUGACGCAGCCAUGCCGCGUGAAUGAAGGAGGCCUUCGGGUUGUAAAGUUCUUUCGGUAGCGAGGAAGGCAUUUAGUUUAAUAAACUAGGUGAUUGACGUUAACUACAGAAGAAGCACCGGCUAACUCCGUGCCAGCAGCCGCGGUAAUACGGAGGGUGCGAGCGUUAAUCGGAAUAACUGGGCGUAAAGGGCACGCAGGCGGUGACUUAAGUGAGGUGUGAAAGCCCCGGGCUUAACCUGGGAAUUGCAUUUCAUACUGGGUCGCUAGAGUACUUUAGGGAGGGGUAGAAUUCCACGUGUAGCGGUGAAAUGCGUAGAGAUGUGGAGGAAUACCGAAGGCGAAGGCAGCCCCUUGGGAAUGUACUGACGCUCAUGUGCGAAAGCGUGGGGAGCAAACAGGAUUGGAUACCCUGGUAGUCCACGCUGUAAACGAUGUCGAUUUGGGGGUUGAGCUUU
This 786-nucleotide ribosomal RNA is filed under the name uncultured bacterium. RNAcentral describes it as "bacterial SSU rRNA". It matches the Rfam family "Bacterial small subunit ribosomal RNA", at positions 57 to 832 of the family's 1533-position model. The record is from RNAcentral.